UAUAUUUAUUAUAUUCUUCUGUUUUAUGAUUAUUUGUUAUAUUUAUAGUUAUUACUUUAAUUGACUGAAAAAUGUACCUUAAAGAAAGAAGAAAAGAGUACUUAAUUUUGUAUACCCCAUAAACCAUAAAAAAUCUCCCAAGAAAGGAUCAAUGACAUACAAUAAACCCCAAGAUCGAAUUCCCCAAAUUAAACCGGGGAAAACCCAAGAAAAUUCUAGGUAAAAAGUUGAACCCGCGUUUCAGGAAUACGAUCAAUCUAAGCUGUAGGCAAUUAAAAUUUAAAUAGCUGGAUCAGCGUGUGCGACAGGUAAGAGAUAUUUAAAUACCUGUAUCGACUAGUGUUACAGGUAACAGAGAUUUAAAUAGCCGGGAUCAACCACUUUACCUGCGAUCAUGAUUGUUCGAUUGAUCCUGCUUGGGAUACAGGUAAGCAAAGGAAAGAAAAGAUCGGUAAAAUCCUUGAAAUCUGGUUGUAUUGGUGGUGAAAGGACAAGAUUCAAACAAAAGAAGCAUUUACAGCGAGUAUUAACCUGUUGAAGAGGACAUGGAUCGGUAGCACAAUUACUAAAUAUCAUUCCUAAAAACACCGAAUGUGAACUUGAAACGUUAACGAAAGAACACGGAAACGGAACAACUAACCAGUAGACAGAAGUUGUAGAACGACAGGGCACUGGAAAAAUAAUAUUAAUGAGAUAGUUCCGCCAUUUUUCCACAUUAAUCCGAAUUAUCGCAUUCUAUUUCCGAUUUUCUACAUUGUUCGUUUCACUAUGUUUAUACAUCACGCGUACAACCCCAUAGAUUUAAGAAAGUACCAAUUUCAAGUCUUCGUCUUAACCUGAGUAACUGUAAAGUGCGAGGGCGAGAAGUGUAAAAUAAUUAAAUAUUUUUAAUUUGAAAACACGUGUGCAUUACGCCGCGCAAGAGGAAACAAGAUGGCGGUUCGAGCGUGGAGGGCGUCGACGAAGAAAAUGACGAUUAUUUGAGAAAUUCGAUCGUGACUAGGGGAAGUAGUGAACGAGUAAUUAUUGGCAACACUGGCUAUGUUGCCGUGAAACAUAAGUGGGCCAACCUGUGUGUGGGUCAGUGCCAAACCACGUCUCGAACUCGAUCUCGAGGGAUGAGGAUUUCUCAGGGACAGCGACCGCUAUUGCCGGAUGAACUUCGGAUCUGAGAACUAUCGAUCGAUUUCGAGAUCGAUCUACGAGACUCGGAUCACGUUACAUCAACACCUCGUAACGGAUUGUCACGGCCACAGUCUAUCCUGUUCGUUUAUUUACGACAGAUCUACAGAUGCAAGUGGGGUAGAUGUUUGAAAUCAUCUUGAGGAUUUUUUAAUUUGCAGACUUUACUAAAAUUAUGUACAAAAUAAAUUUUCAUAAAUGGAA
This 1386-nucleotide unclassified non-coding RNA is filed under the name Megachile rotundata (alfalfa leafcutting bee). RNAcentral's name for it is "uncharacterized LOC105662227, transcript variant X1". The record is from RNAcentral. Lineage: Eukaryota; Metazoa; Arthropoda; Insecta; Hymenoptera; Megachilidae.